CCAGAAAAUCACAUUGUAGGAUUUUUAAUGAAUUUAUUUGCAAAUUAUGGUGGAAAAUAAGUAUUUGGUCACCUACAAACAAGCAAGAUUUCUGGCUCUCACAGACCUGUAACUUCUUCUUUAAGGGGCUCCUCUGUCCUCCACUCGUUACCUGUAUUAAUGGCACCUGUUUGAACUUGUUAUCAGUAUAAAAGACACCUGUCCACAACCUCAAACAGUCACACUCCAAACUCCACUAUGGCCAAGACCAAAGAGCUGUCAAAGGACACCAGAAACAAAAUUGUAGACCUGCACCAGGCUGGGAAGACUGAAUAUGCAAUAGGUAAGCAGCUUGGUUUGAAGAAAUCAACUGUGGAAGCAAUUAUUAGGAAAUGGAAGACAUACAAGACCACUGAUAAUCUCCCUCGAUCUGGGGCUCCCCGCAAGAUCUCACCCCGUGGGGUCAAAAUGAUCACAAGAACGGUGAGCAAAAAUCCCAGAACCACACGGGGGGACCUAGUGAAUGACCUGCAGAGAGCUGGGACCAAAGUAACAAAGCCUACCAUCAGCAAGGGCAUUGAAGAUGAAACGUGGCUGGGUCUUUCAGCAUGACAAUGAUCCCAAACACACCGCCCGGGUAACGAAGGAGUGGCUUCGUAAGAAACAUUUCAAGGUCCUGGAGUGGCUUAGCCAGUCUCCAGAUCUCAACCCCAUAGAAAUUCUUUGGAGGGAGUUGAAAGUCUGUGUUGCCCAGCAACAGCCCCAAAACAUUACUGCUCUAUAGGAAAUCUGCAUGGAGGAAUGGGCCAAAAUACCAGCAAACAGUGUGUGAAAAUCUUGUGAAGACUUAUAGAAAACGUUUGACCUCUGUCAUUGCCAACAAAGGGUAUAUAACAAAGUAUUGAGAAACUUUUGUUAUUGACCAAAUACUUAUUUUCCACCAUAAUUUGCAAAUAAAUAAAUUAAAAAUCCUACAAUGUGAUUUUCUGGAUUUUUUUUCUUCUCAUUUUGUCUGUCAUAGUUGAAGUGUACCUAUGAUGAAAAUUACAGGCCUCUCAUCUUUUUAAGUGGGAGAACUUGCACAAUUGGUGGUUAACUAAAUACUUUUUUGCCCCACUGUAAAUGCAUCUGUUGGUCACAGAUGCCUUUAAAAAACUUGAAAAAAAAAAAGGCGUGGGUCAGAAAACCAGUCAGUAUCUGAUAUGAUAUGACCACCAUUUGCCUCAUGCAGCGCGAUACAUCUCCAUUGCAUAGAGUUGAUUGUGGAAUGUUGUCCCACUCUUCUUCAAUGGCUGUGCGACGUUGCUGGAUAUUGGCGGAAACUGGAACACGCUGUCGUACACGUCAGUCAAGAGCAUCCCAUACAUGCUCAAUGGGUGACAUGUCUGGUGAGCAUGCAGGCCAGAAGAACUGGGACAUUUUCAGCUUCCAGGAAAUGUGUACAGAUCCUUUCGGGAAUGAGGGGCUGUGCAUUAUCAUGCCGUAACAUGAGGUCUUGUCACGGUAUCUCCGUGCAUUCAAAUUGUGACGACCCUCCCACUCUGUCUGCUAUAUUCUUUCUCUUUGCUCUUGUUUUACUUAUUAGCAUGUUCGGCAGGAGGUGCUGGGUGGGUCGUCAGCGACAUGGGAACACACCUGGUCCCGUGAUAAAUACACCUCUUCCCCAUUCAUUGUGGAGACUCUCCAUGCAGACACACUGUUAGAUUUUGGUUAUGGCAUUUUUGUGGCUGUUUUGUUUGUUUACUUUGGCACCUUUCAACACCCAUCAUAAUCACAUUUUUAUAUACGCAACCACUCACUUACACUACUGAUUACAGACUACACACACCAUUGUUAAUUGUAUUUACGUUACCGCUGAUAAUAAAUAUAUUUUUGUUAUUCCUAAUCUCCACGUUGUCUCCCUUUUUUGUUACGGACUUCGAGACGGUUCGUGACAAGUGGGGGCUCAUCCGGGAUCUUGAAGGUUGCUUCCUGUGCGCAAAGGUUGCUGAGGUCUGGGGAGGACGAGGUUGGCUGGGGCAAGUGGAAGUGUGAACACAUGGCUUUGGGAUGCUGGUUGGGUCAAUUUGGGAUGCAGGCUGGGUCUUCUGCUAGUAUCCAGGGCAGUAUUUUGUUUGUGUGACGACCCUCCCACUCUGUCUGCCGUAUUCUUUCUCUUUGCUCUUGUUUCCCCUAUUAGGAUGUUCGGCGGGAGGAGCUGGGAGACAUGAGACACACCUCGGCCCGGGUGUGUCCUGGGAUAAAUACACCUCUUCCCCAUUCAUUGAGGAGACUCUCUCCAUGCAUGGCAUUUUUGUGGCCAUUUGGUUUGUUUGCUUUUGCACCUUUUUCUUCUUUUUUUUGUUCUUUUUUUGUUGAAUUUUGACCCCUUUUUCUCCCCAAUUUCGUGGUAUCCAAUUGUCGUAGUAGCUACUAUCUUGUCUCAUCGCUACAAGGUUGAAAGUCAUGCGUCCUCCGAUACACAACCCAACCAAGCCGCACUGCUUCUUAACACAGUGCGCAUCCAACCCGGAAGCCAGCCGCACCAAUGUGCCGGAGGAAACACCUUGCACCUGGCCACCUUGGCUAGCGCACUGUACAGCGCUCUUAACCACUGCGCCACCCGGGAGGCCUCUUUUGCACAUUUUCAACACUCAUCAUUAUCACAUUUGUGCACGCAACCACUCACUUACACCUACAGAUUACUGACUACACACACCAUUGUUAAUUGUAUUUACGUUACCUCAGUUAAUAAAUAUAUUUUUGUUAAUCCUAA
This is a long non-coding RNA of Oncorhynchus nerka (sockeye salmon), 2734 nucleotides long. RefSeq lists it as uncharacterized. The record is from RefSeq and is a predicted model, not a curated record. The transcript is spliced from 2 exons. Lineage: Eukaryota; Metazoa; Chordata; Actinopteri; Salmoniformes; Salmonidae.